RNAcentral lists this small RNA (215 nucleotides) under anaerobic digester metagenome. Its description in RNAcentral is "ydaO-yuaA". It matches the Rfam family "c-di-AMP riboswitch aptamer (ydaO/yuaA leader)". From Rfam's summary of the family: This family represents a conserved RNA structure found upstream of the ydaO and yuaA genes in Bacillus subtilis and related genes in other bacteria. The ydaO/yuaA element is thought to act as a genetic "off" switch for the ydaO and yuaA genes in its native state. It is believed that the element may be triggered during osmotic shock leading to activation of ydaO, a predicted amino acid transporter gene, and members of the yuaA-yubG operon which code for KtrA and KtrB K+ transporters. The record is from RNAcentral.
UAAAAAAAAAGGCCGAAUCCCCUAUCCAGGGGGUACGGGGGAAUCUUUUCGGGUGAAUCGUGCAGGCGUGGAAGCCGGAUCGUGAAGUAUAAGAUCUUGGUAUCAUAAGUGCCGUCUUAGUUACCACCUGAAGGAUACCUGUAAUCCACGCUCAAUCGCAGGGUGCCCUCAAUCCGAACCCAUUAACUAACCCCGGAGGCCGGAGGAGGGACUUC